RNAcentral lists this transfer RNA (65 nucleotides) under Notocrypta curvifascia (restricted demon). RNAcentral describes it as "tRNA-Cys". The record is from RNAcentral. Lineage: Eukaryota; Metazoa; Arthropoda; Insecta; Lepidoptera; Hesperiidae.
GGCUUUAUAUUCAAGAAUAUGAUAUAAAAUUGCAAAUUUUAAGGGGUAAUUUUUUACUAAGGCUU